GGUUGUGGCUCAGUGGUAGAGCGCUUGCCUGGCACAUGUGAGGCCCUGAGUUUGAUCCCCAGCACCA
This 67-nucleotide transfer RNA is filed under the name Marmota monax (woodchuck). Its description in RNAcentral is "tRNA.Ala". The record is from RNAcentral. Lineage: Eukaryota; Metazoa; Chordata; Mammalia; Rodentia; Sciuridae.